RNAcentral lists this ribosomal RNA (503 nucleotides) under uncultured bacterium. RNAcentral's name for it is "bacterial SSU rRNA". It matches the Rfam family "Bacterial small subunit ribosomal RNA", at positions 29 to 523 of the family's 1533-position model. The record is from RNAcentral.
AUUGAACGCUGGCGGAAUGCUUUACACAUGCAAAGUCGAGCGGCAGCGCGGGGCAAACCUGGCGGCGAGCGGCGAACGGGUGAGUAAUGCAUCGGAACAUGUCCAUGUCGUGGGGGAUAGCCCGGCGAAAGCCGGAUUAAUACCGCAUACGCCCGAGAGGGGAAAGCCGGGGACCGCAAGGCCUGGCGCGAUUGGGUUGGCCGAUGUCCGAUUAGCUAGUUGGCGGGGUAAGAGCCCACCAAGGCGAUGAUCGGUAGCUGGUCUGAGAGGAUGAUCAGCCACACUGGGACUGAGACACGGCCCAGACUCCUACGGGAGGCAGCAGUGGGGAAUUUUGGACAAUGGGGGCAACCCUGAUCCAGCCAUUCCGCGUGAGUGAAGAAGGCCUUCGGGUUGUAAAGCUCUUUUGUCCGGAACGAAACGGUGCUCGUGAAUAUCGAGCGCUACUGACGGUACCGGAAGAAUAAGCACCGGGCUAACUACGUGCCCAGCAGCCGCGGUAA